Molecule: ribosomal RNA, 585 nt
Filed under: uncultured bacterium
Lineage: Bacteria
Description: partial 16S ribosomal RNA
Rfam family: Bacterial small subunit ribosomal RNA
Source: RNAcentral
UGGGGAAUUUUGGACAAUGGGCGAAAGCCUGAUCCAGCAAUGCCGCGUGUGUGAAGAAGGCCUUCGGGUUGUAAAGCACUUUUGUCCGGAAAGAAAUCCUUGGCUCUAAUACAGCCGGGGGAUGACGGUACCGGAAGAAUAAGCACCGGCUAACUACGUGCCAGCAGCCGCGGUAAUACGUAGGGUGCAAGCGUUAAUCGGAAUUACUGGGCGUAAAGCGUGCGCAGGCGGUUUGCUAAGACCGAUGUGAAAUCCCCGGGCUCAACCUGGGAACUGCAUUGGUGACUGGCAGGCUAGAGUAUGGCAGAGGGGGGUAGAAUUCCACGUGUAGCAGUGAAAUGCGUAGAGAUGUGGAGGAAUACCGAUGGCGAAGGCAGCCCCCUGGGCCAAUACUGACGCUCAUGCACGAAAGCGUGGGGAGCAAACAGGAUUAGAUACCCUGGUAGUCCACGCCCUAAACGAUGUCAGCUAGUUGUUGGGGAUUCAUUUCCUUAGUAACGUAGCUAACGCGUGAAGUUGACCGCCUGGGGAGUACGGUCGCAAGAUUAAAACUCAAAGGAAUUGACGGGGUCAUAGCUGUUUCCU